CCUGGUGGCCCUUGCGACGUGAUAAAACCCGAUCCCAUCCCGAACUCGGCCGUUAAGCACGUCAGCGCCGAUGGUACUAUGUCUCAAGACCUGGGAGAGUAGGUCGUUGCCAGGC
RNAcentral lists this ribosomal RNA (115 nucleotides) under Beijerinckiaceae bacterium. Lineage: Bacteria; Pseudomonadati; Pseudomonadota; Alphaproteobacteria; Hyphomicrobiales; Beijerinckiaceae. RNAcentral also lists the same sequence under 1 other name. The record is from RNAcentral.